ACAGUGCCUACGCACACACCCCUGCACACGCACGCUCACACACCCUGCACACGCAUGCCCCAUACACAGUGCCUACGCACACACCCCUGCACAUGCACGCUCACAUCACACACAAACACAACCAGAGAACAAGGCCAGGCAGCAGCAGGCUCCAGGCAAGGGUUGAACUCUCCCAUUGGAGAGAAGCCACUUGAGGGCCUUCGUAGUGCAAGCUGGCCUCGAAUUCAGCCCACCAUGGUGCCCUCGGGCGGAGCGGCUGGCUCAGGGCUCUCCUCUGGGCUCUAGACAUCAGUGCAGGGAUGGUUCCUGGGCAUCCCUACGAUGCCAGGAGGAGGGGUGUUGAGCUGAUCCGCCAGCUCAGAUUUCAGAUGCCCCAGGUACCAUCCUUGAGUCAUAACCUUCUGCCCCAGGCAUUGUCCCUGCAUCUCUGGCCAUGCUCUGCCUCUCAGCGGUGCCUGGGAGUGGCUCACUGGGGGCGGGGGGCUCUCUCUGAUCAGACAGUCUCAGGGGGCUGCAGCCACGGCACCCGUGGGUGGCGUUGGCAACUUGCUGCCCUCCAUCCCUCCUGCCUUGCCCUGUCGAAAAGGUUAUUCCCAGAGCGGGUGACUCACUCCUUCCCCUCCGGUCUAUUUCCGAGCUCUUCACCUCAGCUGUUCCAAUGGCUGGGACACGGGAAGGUCAAACCCCACCCGAUUCACCCAGGGGAGCGGCCGGGGCGCCAGGAGCUGCAAAUGGCUGUAACGCUGCCCCCACCCUCUGCAGAGAGCCCCCAACUCCACGCUUGGACACAGCCAGGGACGGUGGGGGGAGCAGCCUGGCUAACGAGUCUGAAUUCCCUUGGUGGGAUCCCCUCCCCCACCACACCCUCACCACUCCCCUGUGACCUUUCACCACUGGCAGAUACCAGCAGUUCGCCAGAUCUAGAGGAGGGGGAAAGAAUCAAAUUACAGGAGGAAAUUGACGAGGAAGGAGAUGAGAUGUCGGCCUGUACAGCUUACGCGGGAGGAAGUUGGAGCAGCUGAUCUGUGCAAGUGAAAAACAAACCAGACCAGAGGCACCUUUGCUUUUGCACUAACAACGCCCCAGGCUGACGACAACAAAGGGCUUGUCUCACGUCGAGGGCCCCAGCUGCACCUGUCGCGCUGCGCUGCCGUAGCCACUGCUGUCGGCGCAGUGAAUCCACCUCCCCGAGAGGCAGGAGCUACGUCUGCGGGAGAAGCUCUCCCACCAACCUAGCGCUGUCUGCACGGGGUUAGGUGGGGAAACUGAGGCACAGAGCGGCAACAUGGCGAGUCAGCGGCAGAGCUGCUCAGAGGUGGAUGGACUACGCCGGUGGCUAAUGCUGGUGGAGCUGAACUGAUCUUCACAAU
This is a non-coding RNA of Chrysemys picta bellii (western painted turtle), 1370 nucleotides long. NCBI's taxonomy places the organism in Eukaryota, Metazoa, Chordata, Testudines, Emydidae. The record is from RefSeq and is a predicted model, not a curated record.